CCUACGGGAGGCAGCAGUGGGGAAUAUUGCACAAUGGGCGCAAGCCUGAUGCAGCCAUGCCGCGUGUGUGAAGAAGGCCUUCGGGUUGUAAAGCACUUUCAGCGGGGAGGAAGGCGGUGAGGUUAAUAACCUCAUCGAUUGACGUUACCCGCAGAAGAAGCACCGGCUAACUCCGUGCCAGCAGCCGCGGUAAUACGGAGGGUGCAAGCGUUAAUCGGAAUUACUGGGCGUAAAGCGCACGCAGGCGGUCUGUCAAGUCGGAUGUGAAAUCCCCGGGCUCAACCUGGGAACUGCAUUCGAAACUGGCAGGCUAGAGUCUUGUAGAGGGGGGUAGAAUUCCAGGUGUAGCGGUGAAAUGCGUAGAGAUCUGGAGGAAUACCGGUGGCGAAGGCGGCCCCCUGGACAAAGACUGACGCUCUGGUGCGAAAGCGUGGGGAGCAAACAGGAUUAGAUACCCUAGUAGUC
RNAcentral lists this ribosomal RNA (465 nucleotides) under uncultured Klebsiella sp. RNAcentral describes it as "bacterial SSU rRNA". It matches the Rfam family "Bacterial small subunit ribosomal RNA", at positions 338 to 795 of the family's 1533-position model. The record is from RNAcentral. Lineage: Bacteria; Pseudomonadati; Pseudomonadota; Gammaproteobacteria; Enterobacterales; Enterobacteriaceae.